UUUCCUUUGAAGACCACCUGGCUACCAAUAACGGUCUCACCAGCCAAAUCCUGUAUUUGUGGGCCAAGACAGAAGAAGAACAACAAUGAAAAAAAGCUGGAAAUCUUAGAGCAGACUCACAUCUUAACUAGGAGAAUACGUGCUGGCCCAAGUGCCCCAGGACUGAAGCAAAUCAGACAUAGGGGAGGAGGGAGAAUGUUAGAAUGAGGCACACCUGAUUCAGCCGCUAAAUAGUCUGGUUGGCUAAGAAUCACAAUCGAGGCAUUUUGCCUUUCUAGUUUUCUUUGGUGAAGAUCUGUGAGCAUCCAAAUGAUAUGAAGAGCAAUAUGGCUAAUCUGCACUACUUCGGAAGCCUGGGAGGAAUACUUCCUCUUUGCUGGAUGUGGCGUCUGCGUGUACCAUCUGGAAUUGCUGUAGCCAACUUACAAAUACAGACGAAAGCUUUAUCAACCUGCUGAGCACAGCAGAAUGGAAAGAUGCAAAGCACCCUGCUCUUGGGAACUGGCCACCUUCAGACUUCUUGCUACAUCAGGUUUUAUCUACUACAAAGGAUAUCACUUGGGAAGGAAUUUCUUGAAACUGCUCCCAAGAGAGCCAUUGGACCAUGUGGUAAACAACUCCUAGCUGAUGGAUUAUUGGGAAUAUUAACAUCAUCCAGAAUGCUAUGGGGAGAAGACAACUGGAAGCUCCGUGUGGACAAACCUCCUGGACUCUGCCCCACAUAUCUCUUCCCUUGGCUGAUUUGAAUUUGUAUCCUUUCACUGUGAUAAACCACAACCAGAUUAUUACAGCUGUCAGCAAGUUCUUCUAUUGAAUUGUUGAAACUGAGGGUGGUCUUGGGAACCCCUGAACUCUACUGUUGGUGUCAGGAGUGAGGGAAGUCUUGUGGACUGUACUCCCUGACCUCACAGGUGCAUUUUCCAACUUUAUUUGGACAUUCCCCAACAACAUCAUCCCCUUCUUCAAAUAUGUUUCUGCUACAAACAUUGUCCUUUAGAUGGUUCCUUUGCUGCCAUUAUGACUAUGGCGUAAUCUGUAGUAAAGCACCAUUAAGAUGUUAAUACAGAUGUAUGUGUGAAUUAAAAAGUGAUGCUAAAUGCAUAGUAACCAAUUUACUUCGCAUUAAUAAUUUAGCUAUUUUUAUUUGUUUCUAAACAAAAAGCAAAGAGGAUCCAGUCCAGAGAGCAGUUGCAACAGUGUGCACAAUUUUUAUUAAACCGAAAUAAAAGUUCUUGGGCUAUGGAAGUCACCUAAAUUCACUUCUCUUUUCCUAUGAACUUUCACUUUUUUUCCUUCCAACUCUAGUUAGAAGCUGACAGCUGACACGCCCUUCCUUUGUGCAUUUUAUCCUGGGACAAAAUGAGAAGACAUCCUUCAGUUCCCAUCUUGGAUGGCAUAACUUCAAAACCAAGGGAGAUGGAGGAGUUUUAGAGGAGUAGAAGGCUGCAAGCAAGAACUGAUGCAUUACAUCUCCAGUCACCUCACUCUAAGAUUGUCCUGUAGCUAAGACUGUUGAAUGAGACUGUUGUUCUUCAGUUUGCAGCCACAAAGCACGGAGGCAUCUCCCCAAGAAUCCACUGCAGGGAGGAUGAACAGCCCUUACCUGGAUUUUUGCUUUAUCUAAAAAUAUAUUUGUAGAAGAAGGAGCAUUCUAGUUUCCAAAUACAAAGGGCAAUCUCCUUCUCUGUGUGUGCACGUGCAAACAAACACACUUCUACAAGUAAGCAUUCUUCUUUAUUAUCAUAGUCAUCAUCAUCACUGGGUUGGCAACUAAAAACAAAACUACAAAACUCUCAUGUUAGCAGUUGAGUAACUUUUAAUAACCAGAUACAAACCAUUCUUCAUUGUUUACAAGGGGCAUUAAAAAGAAAAGGAGGUUGAACUGCAAUGUGAAGUGUAGUUAAAUAUGUAGACAUCUUGGAUUCUAGAAGAGUUUGUAAUGGAUUAAAGGGUUAAGCUAUGAAAUUGUUGCCCUCUGUGAUUUUUCCACACUAGAACAGACUGACAUGGUUUGAAGCAGUUGGGCUUUAACCUAUAGAUAGGAGGACAGAGAUGAUUGCCUAUGAAGCAAUUAUUAAAUAGCUGCAUUUUGGCAUGUUCUAGUUGAAAAGAUUUAGUUUUACCUAUAUCACCUCAUCAUCACUAAUUUAAUCAUCCUCAGAAAAUGCAAAAAUAAUGAUGUACAUUUGACAAGUCUUAUACAAAAUUAUGUUUCAUAGCUUUGUGGUCAGAAUUAAGCCAUGUUCUAAAAUACAAAUGAAUAGUUUACAGCCCACUAAUUCCUAACUGUAAGUGUUAAGUCUAUAUAAAAAUAAGAGACAAGCUUGUGAUCAGGAAUAGCUUCCAAUUAUGAAAAAUUUAAAUAAAAAUAAUAGAAUGUGCUUAAUUUAUUUAUCAUAUACAAAGUAGACAUAUGUGACCAAAAUGAUUCAUUAUUUUUACGAUUUUCAUGGGAAUAAGUUUGACAAUAUU
RNAcentral lists this long non-coding RNA (2472 nucleotides) under Homo sapiens (human). RNAcentral's name for it is "HSALNT0249022". The record is from RNAcentral. Lineage: Eukaryota; Metazoa; Chordata; Mammalia; Primates; Hominidae.